This 348-nucleotide ribosomal RNA is filed under the name uncultured bacterium. RNAcentral's name for it is "bacterial SSU rRNA". It matches the Rfam family "Bacterial small subunit ribosomal RNA", at positions 923 to 1260 of the family's 1533-position model. The record is from RNAcentral.
CCCCCGCCCGGGCACAAGCGGUGGAGCAUGUGGUUAAUUGGAAGCAACGCGAAGAACCUUACCUGGGCUUGACAUGCUGGUGUAAGCCGGUGGAAACAUCGGCCCCUCUUCGGAGCGCCAGCACAGGUGCUGCAUGGCUGUCGUCAGCUCGUGUCGUGAGAUGUUGGGUUAAGUCCCGCAACGAGCGCAACCCUCGCUCCCAGUUGCCAGCGGUUCGGCCGGGGACUCUGGGGGGACUGCCGGCGUUAAGCCGGAGGAAGGUGGGGAGGACGUCAAGUCAUCACGGCCCUUACGUCCAGGGCGACACACGUGCUACAAUGCCUGGUACAGCGCGUCGCGAACCCGCGA